This 76-nucleotide transfer RNA is filed under the name Acidimicrobiaceae bacterium. RNAcentral's name for it is "tRNA-Lys". It matches the Rfam family "tRNA". Rfam says of the family: Transfer RNA (tRNA) molecules are approximately 80 nucleotides in length. Their secondary structure includes four short double-helical elements and three loops (D, anti-codon, and T loops). The record is from RNAcentral. RNAcentral also lists the same sequence under 3 other names. Lineage: Bacteria; Bacillati; Actinomycetota; Acidimicrobiia; Acidimicrobiales; Acidimicrobiaceae.
GCCCCUUUAGCUCAAUGGUUAGAGCAGCGGACUUUUAAUCCGUUGGUUCUGGGUUCGAGUCCCAGAGGGGGCACCA